CAUAGCAGCCGCCGCCAACCCAACACUUCGUGCGGUUUGCACGAACAUUUUUCUUUCUACUAAUAAACUUUAAAAAACAAAUAUUUUAAAACUCUUAUAUGGAACACGAUCGCACCAAAUCCUCUAUUUGUUAUUAUUUUGUAAAAUUGAAAGUAUUUCGUACAGAAAUGGAAUAUAUUUAAAAUUCUGUAGUUCAAGAAAUUUUAAUGGUUCCAUUCGAUAUUAAUAAAAGUGUUUCUCAUCUUUGGAUUGAGGCUCUCUUUGCGAACGGACAUGGGCUCCUCGUGCAUAAAAUAUUUAUCAACAUCAUCAGCUGCCUUUGACAAUUUCAAAUGGAUUGCCGGAAUUAAGAAACAACUGCCGACUCUGGUUCCUGCGCAUUGGAUACUUUCCGAUUCCUACGUAACUUCAAAAACAAAAUAAAAUCAGCAAAUAAAUUCAUAUUGUGACAUUGGGUUGGACUUUUUUUUAAGUUCAGCUCUAUAUUGAAACCAGCUUCCAACCUGAACAGUUCGUUUAGUUUUGUAAAAACCAUCGGAAAAUUAUUUGAACAAAAAUGGCAAUCGUAGUUACUUCGAGUUCAUCGCGAAAAUCACGACAGGACACCGGGCAUCUUUAUCGAGAAGAUUUUGAUGGUGGGCCAGUUAGUAUGGACGAAAUCGAAAAUGGUCUCUUCUUAGGGAACCUUACAUCUGCAACAAACAUGGAAACACUAAAAUCGCACAAGAUCACACAUAUACUUACUUUAGAUUCGGUGCCGCUCCCUUCUCAUAUGCAGCAAGUUUCAUUUCUAACAACAAAAUAUGUGCAGAUUUCCGAUAUGCCAAAGGAGGAUAUUCUACAUCAUUUGGACCAAUGCACAGAAUUCAUCAGCUCGGCUUUGGAUAAGGGAGAAAAUAUAUUGGUGCACUGUUAUUUCGGUGUAAGUCGAAGUUCAACAGCUGUUAUCGCUUAUAUGAUGAAAAAACACAAUUUAGAAUAUCAACAAGCUUUUGAAAUAGUCAAAUCUAAGCGUAAAUUUGUACAGCCUAACUCUGGUUUCGUGAAUCAAUUGAAACUUUAUCGACGAAUGGGUUGUACUAUUGAUCCUCAAUUUGAUAAGUACAAAGCGUAUCGUCUAAAAUUAGCUGGCGAACAAGUUAGAAAAGCAAAAAUUCUUCCUCAAAAUUUUACGAAUUUAAUCAAACCUGAUCCUGCAAUAACUCAAGAAAAUCCAGAACCAAUAGUUUAUAGAUGCCGAAAAUGCCGCCGAGUAGUUGCUUCCAAAUCCAAUGUUCUUCUACAUUCGCCUAAAAAUGGACCACUUUCACAAUUACCAAUCGAUGAUGGGACUGAAAAUACAAAUGCUGCUGCCACAUCAACUGUCACCACACAAGAAACACCCGUUGCUGCUCCAACACGACUCAUCGAUCAAAUUGCCGAACAAAUACGCAGAGUAUCAGUUUUCGAUAGAGCUAAUGAUGCAAAAUGUAAGAGUAUUUUGUUUCUGGAACCCAUCGCUUGGAUGAAAAAUAUUUCUAAUAAUACUCAAGGACGUUUGAAUUGUCCUAAAUGCGAGCAGAAACUGGGUAACUUUAGCUGGAUAAAUGGAUGUCAAUGUCCAUGCGGUGAGGAAGUUUCACCAGCGUUUUAUUUAAUUGCAUCAAGAGUAGAACUAACAAAAGCAGUACAAAACGUGCAGACCACUGUUUAAAAAUAUAAACAAUAAAUUCAUAAUCAUAACAAUUCAACAUAUCAAAUUGAUUUUGGAUGGGUUCAAUUUGACUUUAAGUUUCAACUUCAAGGUUGAAAGCAUUUUUGAAAUCUUCAAUUGUGAAUUUCUUGAAUUUUCCCAUAUAGUUUUUUGAUGAUGAGGGCAAAACUCCAUGCAAGAGUGUGGCGUAAGCCAUAUAAAUUUACAUUUGAGCUUUUGACAAUAAAGCACUCAGCAAUCCCAUAAAUUAUUCCUGAGUGCUUAAAAUAAAAACUGGCUAAAUCAAAACAAUUUUUUUUUAUUAAAUUUAAAGCAACGCUAAUUUGUAAGAAUUUGCAAAUACAGUGCAACACGGAUAUAAGAGUCUGAAAAUGGAAACAUUUUUUUCUUUUAUCUUAGUAUUUCUUAUAUAUAAGCGUUCUAUUGUCUUUUGCUUUAUUAAGAGCAAAGAAUGUUAUUGGUCUUAAACGGUUACUGAACAUUAUUGUUGUUCUUGCUAUACAUAUAUUAUACUUACGUCAACCUCAGAUUUUACAACCUUGCCACUUAAGAACUAUGCCAAAGAAGUGGUGCCGAGAUUCUCUGACGAGACUUUAUUUAUUAGAUACUCCCGAUGUCGCUUUUCAAUUCUAUCUUAAACGUAAUUAUUCUUCCUUUUUCUGUAGUUAGUGAUGAAAGUUUCUUCAAGAACGUUAUCAGAUUCCAUGUUCCCUUCUACCACAAGGUGUUCUGCCAACUUGACGUCAGAAUCUUCGGAAGAAAUAACAGCUGGCGGCUGAAUUUCGUGCAUUAAAUCGAAGUACACCCGAAAUUUUCUCAAGUUUCCAGUCCAUCUGGUCGAGGCGGCAAUCUGUAAAAAAAAAAUAAUAUAGAGAGUGAGAGGAUAGAAGGAGGAAGAUAGUUAAGUUAAAUAAUUAUGCUGCGCCGGUGCGAGUGCUAGAGCCAACAACCAAAAAGAUUUUUCGUACGGAGCAGUAAAACGCAUACAAAUAAGUUCAUAUUUACAUUCGAAAUAUUUGGUAAUAAAGUACCGCAUACGGAGGGCAUCGAUCAACGCAUUGGCAUGCGAACGGGGAUUGAAAGCACACACCCCGAACCGAUUCUCCAGUGGCUGAUUCCUCUCACUCUGUUGCAAUACUAUCAUCACUCGGAGCAGGAGAACACACAUCUCCGAGUUGGAGGAUAAGCGGAAACCACUACAAACCCACCGAAAAACUAAAUAAUUGUGAACGAAUAGAACGACCCAAAUCACUGGCUGCGAACGGGGUAGGAGCACACACACCCCGAACCGAUUCUCCAAAGGUCUUCCUAUUCUAUUCCGUCACAGCACUACCAAGACACGGAGCAAGAGAUCGCACAUCUCCGUGUGGAAAUAAUAACGCGCUGCUCACUCACUCACUCACGACACAUCUCAUAUUUUUUUUUUUCAAAAUAAAAUCCAUAGGAAAGGAGAGAUAAACAACUAUACUCUCCCUUAUUAUACUAUAUACUACAUAAUAGAGAAAUAAGUUGGUCACGCAAAAGAAAACAAAAGCCGAGGAGGAGAAAAACACUCAAAAAAAAAUACCGUAAACCGGCGACGCUGAAAGUCGUCGAAGUCAAAAACAAUCGUUAUGAAAUUUCGUUUGCGUUACAUAGAAUUAGUAAAGAAAAUUCAAAUAAUGCAACUACACAAAAGUUGGUAUUUAAUAAUUAAAUAAAAUAAAACCGAGGAGGUUACUCACCUAGGUCAACUUACUUCGCCAAUUUCUGUGUAUUGUAAACGAAUUUCGAGAGAGCAGAAAAAUUUUCAAAGUUAUAUACACAGAUGUGUGUUAGAGUAAACCUCUCGAAUACCAAUGGUGGCACAGACUAUACAUACGUUGAGUAAGAAUGGAUAGGGGAAGAAAAUCAGUAAGUAUUUUCAAUUCAAAGUUACUUACUAAAAAAACACUACAACUGGGAGAAAUGAAUCGAACAGCUAUGACUAGGAAAGGAAAAGUAGUUUAUAGUUAGAGUGAAGUAUAGAAACAGAAAUGGGAGAGAAGGAAAGAAGAAGAAUAUAUUUAUGUUUUCUUACAGUUAGUAAAUCGGUUUGGAACAUGUUCAGAAAUAAAAAAACACAGAUUUCUUAAGUAUCAGACCUCAAAAUUAAACACAAUUAUUAUUUUGACAGUUCGAGCUCUGCUCUGAAGUAAAAACGAAAAAAACACCAUUUGAAGCUUGAUACAGUUGCAAUAAAUUCUUCAACUUUGACUGUUUCCAUUUUCAAUUUGCAUCUGCUCGUGCAUGUAGUAGAGAGCUUUUUGUUUCAAAUUUGUGUAUGUUUUUCUUUUAUACAAAAGCUUUUAUAAAGCUUAACAUUACUUGAGGUUGUCCCAAUCACUUUUUCUUUACGGCUCAGUUCCUUUACUUCUAAAUGCCUUUUGUAUUUUUCUUCUAAGCCAGAUUUUGUUUCUCCUAUGGCGUUUUUAUAUUCUUCGCACUGAUCACAUUGAUCUUUUUUUGGGACGAAAAACCCCAAGUUAAAAUCCUCCUUAAAAAUACGCGAGUAGGAAUCAUACGUAGCCGCUGGUUUCAUUGCCAAAUUUCUUUUUUCUUCAUAAUUUCUAUGCAUCUCGGCAAUAGUCAGCCCACCAUCUAUAAACUCGCGACAAGAUUUAGCUCGCAAGUAUUGGCUUUCUAUUCUAGGAAUAGAACUUAUGUGUUAUCGGAUGGAGUUGAGAACUUCUGGCUGUAAUUUAACAUGAUGAGUAUGCUUGCCUCUUUUAUCUUUAUGACGGUUCUGAGUCUACGCUCCUUUAUACCGAAGAUAUUCAAGAGGAAAGGUUUGCAUACUUUUAUGUUUAAUCCGUUAUUCAGCAAUGAAAACGAGUAGUUUUGCUUCCUUGGCUCUUUUCGCAAAGAUCCUGUUUGAAUGCGACGAAACAUGACUUGUAGAGGAGCAAUACAUGAAGCCAAAAAAUCACGUUGCCUUUGCAGUGCUCCUAAUGACCAAUCAUCCUUAAAUAGUUGGGUCCUCUGAUCCUCUGUAAAUUUUGUUGAGCACAAAAGCUUACAGUUACAAACUGGAAACAUGACUCGAUCUCCCACCGUCUUGCCAGAUGUGGAUAUAUAUAUCUGUCCAGCAUUUUUUUUUGGGUUUUCCUUUGGUGUUUUUUUCCAUUGUUGGGGCUUUCGGAUUCUUUUUUUUUUUCUUUUUUUGGUGGUGAUGGAUUGACUUUGUCCGAUGACUGGUCUAUUUGUGGUGGUAAUUGGUCGAUUUUGAUGCUGAUUUGUUAAUCUGUGGUUGAAUUAUAUCGAUUUUUGACUUCUCAAUGUAAGAAGAAUCUGACGACACAGAGUGGGAACUUUCAUCACGAUAGGGAUUGUAUCCACUUUCCUCCCCGGAAAAAUCUUCAUCUGUUGAGCCUUGGACUUCAUAAGUUCUCUCGUUUAAGUCUCAAACAAAUUAAACUUGGUUGAAGUCCAGAUCCAGAGGCUAAAAGUUCACCUGUUUGUGCUGUUUUACAUCUGGUAUACCCUCGACGAAAUAUUCGAUGAGACUCUCUUCAUCUAGCUCUAUUUGCUUCCCUAUCUCUAAAAGUCCAUAUAGAUAUUCUAACAACGUUUCGGUUAACUUCUUCUGCCUAGUCCUCAACCUACGGUGAACUUCCGCCAAUGAUAACUUUGUCCCAAUGAGAGUUUGUCUUUAAUGAGAGCUUGCUUCAAAGCGUCCCAGCUUUUGAUACGCACCUGACUUCUAACGAACAACUUGGCUGCACCCUUCAACAAUUGCUUCGCGUAGAUGUACAUUUGGAUCUCGUCCCAGUCGACAGCUAUCGCAUUUUCUUCAAAUUCCUGGAUCCAGAGAUUGAUGUCUACUGAACCAGUACCAUCGAAAUGGGCUAACGAGUCUUGAAUAUCCCUUAAAGUAAAGUUACGUGCCCUCACAACUUCGACAAGCCUUGACCUUUGUUCGCUCCUGUCGUCAUCGCUAUCAUCAUCGUUACGUGAUAGCCCAAAGUGGGAGAGCAGUCUGUCCUGUAGCCUGUAAAUUCAGUUAUGUCAACCUUUCUCUUAAAAGUUCUACCGUCAAAGACAAUAUCUCAUCCCCUUCCAUAUUCAAUAAUUUAUUUUACCUUUAUAAUUAAAUUCAGAAAAAUGUUUUUGUCUAACAAAAAAAAAUACCAGCUUUUACAAAUUUACAUAAAUGAACAAAAAGAAAAUUUAUUGGCAAUGGUCUUCGCUUACCUACAUACAAUUUGUAACACAAAACAAAUUCUGCAAAUGUUGUCUCCUCUCGUCUGCCUCGACGCAGCACUCUUCCCCUUUGUUUGCCUGGACACGGCACUCUUCACUCGCCUUGACACGGCACUCUUCGUUCGCCUUGACACGGCUUUUUAUUCAAUAACUGUG
This is an RNA transcript of Eupeodes corollae, 6070 nucleotides long. It is a transcript of the gene named dual specificity protein phosphatase MPK-4, with no coding region annotated. NCBI's taxonomy places the organism in Eukaryota, Metazoa, Arthropoda, Insecta, Diptera, Syrphidae. The transcript is spliced from 7 exons. The record is from RefSeq and is a predicted model, not a curated record.